AACUUUUGACAACGGAUCUCUUGGCUCUCGCAUCGAUGAAGAACGCAGCGACAUGCGAUAAGUAAUGUGAAUUGCAGAAUUCAGUGAAUCAUCGAAUCUUUGAACGCACCUUGCGCCCUUUGGCUAGUCCGAAGGGCAUGCCUGUUUGAGUAUCAUAAACACCUCAACUCCCAUGGUUUGCCAUGAUGAGCUUGGACUUUUGGGGUCUUGCUGGCCUAUGGUCAGCUCCACUACAACGAAUCAGCUUGCCGGUGUUUGGUGGCAUCACAGGUGUGAUAACUAUCUACGCUUGUGGUUUUCCACCAGGUAACCUUCAGUGAUGGAGGUUCGCUGGAGCUCAUAAACGUCUCUCCUCUGCGAGGACAACUUUUUGAAUGUUUGAUCUCUAAUCAGGUAGGACUACACGCUGAAGUUAAGCAUAUCAAUAAGCGGAGGCU
RNAcentral lists this unclassified non-coding RNA (437 nucleotides) under uncultured Tomentella. RNAcentral describes it as "sequence contains ITS2". The stretch from base 1 to 155 matches the Rfam family "5.8S ribosomal RNA". The record is from RNAcentral. Lineage: Eukaryota; Fungi; Basidiomycota; Agaricomycetes; Thelephorales; Thelephoraceae.